CCCUUAGAUGUCCUGGGCCGCACGCGGGCUACACUGACGCAUACAGCGAGCACUUUCCAGUUCCGAGAGGCUACUGGUAAUCAUCAAUAUGCGUCGUGAUGGGGAUAGAUCUUUGGAAUUCUGGAUCUUGAACGAGGAAUGCCUAGUAAUCGCAGGUCAUUAGCCUGCGAUGAUUAAGUCCCUGCCCUUUGUACACACCGCCCGUCGCUACUACCGAUUUCGAGUGGUCAGGUGAAUCUUUCGGACUGUGGGCGCCCUUGAGGUGUUCGCGGAAAGUCAGGUAAAUCUUAUCACUUAGAGGAAGUAAAAGUCGUAACA
Molecule: ribosomal RNA, 318 nt
Filed under: uncultured eukaryote
Lineage: Eukaryota
Description: partial 18S ribosomal RNA
Rfam family: Eukaryotic small subunit ribosomal RNA
Source: RNAcentral